ACAAUGAUACUUCCGUCCAGUCAUAGUCCGAGCGUUAGAAGCGUCGCAGGCAAUGAGGGCGGCUGCGGGAAAUCCCUGCGGUGGUGAGAUUCCAAUG
This 97-nucleotide non-coding RNA is filed under the name uncultured Ruminococcus sp. RNAcentral describes it as "pemK RNA". It matches the Rfam family "pemK RNA". The record is from RNAcentral. Lineage: Bacteria; Bacillati; Bacillota; Clostridia; Eubacteriales; Oscillospiraceae.